UAGUAAACCAAUUAAUCUGCUUAGCUGAAUGCGUUUCUGCAGAAAUUUAGAAACAGGUGGCAAUAGUGAUGCCAUUUUAUGAGCCUUAAGGACAACUGACGUCAUUAUGGUCCCACAAAAUGGCUACAAUA
Molecule: small nucleolar RNA, 131 nt
Organism: Jaculus jaculus (lesser Egyptian jerboa)
Lineage: Eukaryota; Metazoa; Chordata; Mammalia; Rodentia; Dipodidae
Source: Ensembl